This is a long non-coding RNA of Gallus gallus (chicken), 6812 nucleotides long. The record is from Ensembl. Lineage: Eukaryota; Metazoa; Chordata; Aves; Galliformes; Phasianidae.
GGAGACUUUCAGCAGUUCGGGUGGUGAAGAGAACACUGGCAUCUACUGCCUUGGGAAGGCUGUAUGCAGGGCUGUCGGAGAAAAUGAUGAAAACCCUUGUGUGCAAGGAACGCAUGGUACAAAUUCCGCUGAGCAAAAGAAUAAGAGUUGCUGAACAGCAGCCAAGAGACUAACCCAGCAACAGCUGACAUGGAUACACAUCUUGUCUCCACAUUUGAAGGUGAAGAGAAACCCAAGUUGCCAGAGCUCAGAGGUAGGACAGCUGUAAAGCCUCCUGCUUCAGUUAAUGAAGUGUGUGGUGCUCCCAGCUUUGAGAAGAACAUCCAUCCAGAAUUUGAGCCCUGCAGUGCUCCAGGAUUUGAGGACUGCAUUCCACCACAUUUUGAUUAUCCCACACCCCUAGAGUUUGACUGUGCUCCUGCAGAGUUUGAUGACUGCAGUCUCCUAGGGUCUGACAACUUGAACAAUGAAGGCUAUGCUAUUACACCACGUCUGCAAGAUGCAAAGUCUCCUGCAAAUGCAGUGCAGGAGUUCAUUCCAUUCAGUAUGUUUCGUUCAGAAGGGGAUACACAGAGGACAAGUUUGGACAUUCAGACUAUUAGAUUUGCCAGAAAACGUGUUGGCAGGAUUGGGAUGAGAUUUGGAUUCUUUCCUUCUCUCUCAUCUGGCUUUGAGCUAACCUUGUAAUUCUGCUGUUGCUCAGAGAAACCUGAUUUUUUGCUUGCUUUGAAGAAUUGGCUGAAAGUCUGAAGAGAAAUCUCUCUGGAGAUUAGUUUGUUUUCCAGGGACGAUUCCUUUCUCUACCCUUUGUGUUUCUGAAGGUCUUCCAGGUGGACCCAUUUGGAAUCCCUUGGAAAACAGACAUAAUUAACCAUGAGAAGAGUUCGGUCACUGCAUCUUUACUUACGCUAAAAGGUGUCACCUUUGUACCUAUCUUGUGUGGUCCACACACUUGUGUGAAUGGAUGGGGAAGAGGGUGAACACCUUGACAGACUGAUGGACAUGAGCAGUUUGCCUAAGCCUUCAGAUAAUACAUACCAUCAAGAAAGCUGCAGUUUAGGCAUGAUUUUGAUGCUGGCCAUUGAGGUAGAGUCAGUUCAAACCAUAGAAGGGAAGUGUACUCUACCGAAGAUGAUGCAGCAGUUUUUGACGAGGAACUGCAAUCAGUAUAACUGCCUGUCUUUAAAACCCUUACCCCUCCAACUGUGCUCAGAAAGGAGAGGUUAGAUAUUUUUUGGAGGGGAUCACCUGCUAGCUCACAUUCAGGCUUAUCACAGCAAAUACUUGGUUUGAAGGCAAAACUCUUCAGUCCGCAGUGUGAGUUUAUGAGUAUUCAUGGUGUAAAAUUGAACUCCUAAUGGGUACUUGUUGGGAAAGAUGAAGAAGCUGCUUCAGCUGUUUACUAGUCAGAAUCCACUGAAUAGAGCCUUAGACUCACUGAGAAGCAUCAUGAUUUGGUGACAGUGAAUGACAUUUCUGGAGAUGCCCAGUCUGACAUCUUCUUUGGAAAAAUUGUGAUCUGAUGAUGACAAAGUGUCUGAAACCAGAGCAAGAAAGCUAAAAUGCUACUAAAGUUUUGAGUCAGAGGAUGGAUGGAUGAAGAUCUUAUUCCAAAUGGGCAGUGCGCUUGGAGCUUCCUCCUGCCUGCAGGGGGAAAGCUCAGUCACACUGGCAAAGUCCUGACUGCUUUUUCAGCAAGGCUUCAGUUUGCAGUGUGGCCAACAGGGGCUGUGCCAUCUGCGACAUGAGCUGGAUGGCUUUGUGCUGCAAAGAAACGUGCAGGUAUCUGCUGUUAAGCUACAGCAGUACAAGUACAGCAGAUGUGAGCAUGCAGCUCUGGUGAGGGAAGGAGCAACUGUGGCUGUGGACCUGAGAGCUGAAAUUUCCCAGCUUCCAUGUGUCACUACCAUUCCUUCUGAAACACUGGUUUUAUGUGCUCUUCUUAAAUGGUUUUCUAUGCAGAUGUAGUUCUACACAAGAUAACUAGAGCAAUGUCCUUGAAGAUACCCCAUUUUGUCUAGUUGAGGUACUUGCUAUAGCUUCCAGAUGUGUUGCUUAUCACUGAUAAAUGUCCUUUCUAACCACCAGGCUUCUAUAAUAACAGCAACAUCCUCUAAAUGGGGGCUGAAGUCCCAAACAGUAACCAAUCAUUGGAAACUAAGUGGAGACCAAGUGCCCUUAGAAAACCUGUGUCCUCACAUGGAUAGCAUGAGGAGGACACCUCCCCAUAUGACCACCGACCCCUGCACAAGCACAGAAGAUUCGGAUACGUUUGCGUAACCUUGUACUUGCAGUAAUCUCAUGAAUAUGUAAUAGAUAGAUGCCUUAUGUAGUGGAUAGGUGUGUACUGAGAACUGCUGGGUUAUAAAUAGUGGAGAGUGCGAUGACUCAGAUCCACUUGAUUUGUGGAGAUUACUCACCUUGAGUGCUGUGCAGAAAUAAAGCAAUGUUUCCUCUCUAAUCACUUGUCUUUUCAAUGUGUUUCAGGACAUUUUGAAAUCGACAUCACCACCACCGUUCCUUCUUACGUGCUUUUCUUAAGCAGUUUGUGGUUCUGCGGCUAACAAAUCAACUGAUGGAUGGGAAAUCGGGGAAUCUCAAACAGUAUGAUACUACCACUGGUGCACCAGUGUGGUAGUGAUCAGUGCCUGCUGUUCUUCAGCUCUUAGCAAUCCCCCAUCAGAAAGGUCUUUUGAGAGGAUGGGCGAGGUAGACAGUUGCCUGAUGUUCUCCAUCUCCAAGGCACCUAUACAAAAAACCUAUUGGUAUUCUUUGAGUCCUUGAAGUACCCUUUCCUGAGGUAAUCUACACCAAGGAUGUGCAGAGCCUCUGGACCAGUCGCAAUGGGGUGUUUUUGCUACUCAUUCUCAGUCAGGCUCAAUUCAGACUCCACUAAAAUUAGCUCCUGGGAUCCCCCUGUCACUCCGGAGGUACAGACAGGUUCUGACCCUUCAUAACUUUAUGGCACUAGGCUCUUAUACUCCUGUGGUUCUGAUGUGCCAAGCCAUUGAAUCCGCACAGCCCAAUAAACCCGAUUGUCCCUUUCCUCCACCUGACUGGAGGCAGGGCCCUUCUAGUUCUGGUUAUUCUAUUCAUCAGUCAUGAAUGCAAACCACAAGGCUGGUUAUCAAACUCAGAAAUAAGGUCAGACCACCUACUCUGUUUGAAGAACUGCCCACUGGAGACUGGAGUGGUCAUUUUCCAGGAAGAACUCUCUUUUGUGAUGGCUUUCCCUCGCAACUCACAUAUCCAUACCUCUAGGCUUCAAGUGAGUUUUCCAUCCCAUUUCCUCAUAUCCUCUCCAUGGCCAUGCAGGUAAGACCACCGGUUAGCACGUGGUGUAUACCCAAUAUAUCUUCUGUCUUGAAUUAAAAAAUGCUUACUUCUGGUAUCUGAGAUGCUAGUCCAUGCAGAUAGGACAGAAGAUUUAUUCCCUUUGAGUUGUUGGGCCACUUCGGAAUGCUUCUCCACAGCUGAAACACAGGCCCUUAGAGAGAAGGAGAGAGAUAUUUUGCUGGAGUUCAUCAGCGAAUUUAUCCACCAUUUGUUCCUCUCCCUCUUUCCAGGUCAUUUCUGCAGUGAGUUGGCAUACAGAGAUGGUGAACUCCGUACAAACUUACGCCACAUGGAUUGUGGAAUAACACAUCUCAAUUUUGGAAUAAUCAGAAGUUCAGGCCAAUAUUAUGCACCAUCUCCAGCACAGCCAAUUCCCUCAGAUACUGGAUACCUCUUUCCAUGGUGGUCCACUUGCCUGGUUGACAUAAUAUUGUCCCUGUAGGGAUACACUUCCUUCACAGCUGACAGGAAUUGCAUCUAAAAGGGGAGAGAUUUUUUCAUUUUUUGUAAUUGCUUUGUCAAUGUCCCCAUCCCUAGAGAGGAACUGCAGCAACCUGGCUCCCAUGCUCACUGAAUCCAGACUAUCAACACCACAUCCCAGCAUUGAAGCGGCUGGGUGACAGCGUGCUCACCUGGAUGAUCGCUGAAAUCUUUCCACAUAUCUUGCACAGUUUCAGAAAUGGCCAGCCUGUUCUGAGGGAGGUUCCAGGGAACUACAGUCAAGGCAGCUUCACCUCAAACCCUGGGAAUGAUCUGCAGACAUGUGAAGGAAAAGAAAGUGAUGGUGAGUAGCCAGCAUGGAUUCACAAAGUGAAAACAGUGCUUAACCGACGUGGUAGCUUUCUGCAAUGGGAUAAAUGGCUUGGGGGAUUUGGGAGAGCAGUCAGUGUUGUUUAUCUCAACUUUUAACGUGUUUUCUACGUUGUCUCCCAUGCCAUCCUCAAAGAUAUAAACCUAUGAAGUGUGGCCUAGGUAAGUGGAUUGAACACUCUGAUGUGGACUGAACGCUGACUGAACUGCUGGGCUCAGAGGACUAGAGGUACACAAUCCAGUGGCUAGCCAGUCCCUAAUAGUAUAGCCCAGGGCUUGAUACUGACCCUAAUACUGCUUAACUUCUUCAUCACUGACACAGAUGCUGUGACAGAGUAUUUAUCACCUGCAAACUUGCAGAGAUAGCACAAGACUGGGAGGUGUGGCUGCCACACGAGGAGAGGGGCUUUGGCAGGCUGGAGAAAGUUUCACAAAGCGGCAUGAAAUUUAACAAAUGGAAUUGUGGAACCUGGGAAGGAAUAACCUCACAUGCCAGUAUGCAUAGGGGACCGAGUGACUGGAAGGAAGUUUUGCUGAGAAGAACCUGGUUGUCCUGGUGGACACCAAGUUUAAUGUGAGCCAGCAACAGGCUCUUGUCACAUCAAAGGUCAACAGUACCCUCUUCAAAAUGGUUUGUUGUUCCUUGUGCAAGAGGAAGUAAAACCGUAACUGUCAAAGCCUACUAAGUAUGUAAAUGGAGGGAAAGCCUUGAAAAGAGAAGUACUCUGAAUCUGUGACGAUGCAUGCAAAUAUCAUCUUAUUCAGUGAUUGUAUGACCAUUUUAAACCGUAACCUGGAGGCACAUGUUUAAAUCCAUAAGCAUUCCAAAGAAAAAAGAAAGAUAACAGUCCUUUAGAACACAUGUAGGCUUUCCCUCUUCUGCGUAGUUUGUAUAUUGCACGUAUUUGCCCACUUCUACGUGUAAUUAUUAUAAAAGUCUUCAAAAUCAAAACUUUUUUGACAAAUCAAGUAAAGUAACUAAAAUAAUGUGUCUUUGCAGCACAGGUGAAGGUGCCUCUGCUUUGAUUUCAGUAUUACUCUUACCUUUCCAUAUACAGCCUUUGUGAACUUUCCACAGCCAGCCUCAUUACUUAGAGUUGCAAACAUUCUCAGCACAGAUGUCAUGUACACUGUUGUCAUGAUUUGCAGUAGAUUUCCCAGAAACUGAAGAGGUUGCUCACACACUGCUAUAGCCACAAAGCUUCAGAAUACGAUUGUCACCCGAUCUUUUUACUCCUUACCUGAGUGGUUUUCCGUUUGGUGUCUCCAUACUACAGUGUUUGAAUGCACUCAGUGCCAGAAACAUGAACCUCUUCAGCCAAAGGAACCACAGAAACCCCACUGUUCACCCCUAUUGCCCCAAAUCUGGUUUCAUGAAAUGACUGCAUAUCUAAAGUCGCAGCCCACAUUUCUUGACCAUGCAAUUGGUUCACAGACGUAUGCUGCAGUUUUAAAGCAGUGUCUAUGCUUCUGCUUCUGCUUAUUCUCAGUAGCUGGGUCAGUCUGAGACUUCUGAAAUUGUGUCAAUCAUUCGGUUUUAGAGAAGGGGACUGUGGUUAAAUGGUAUCGAGUGGUGUAUUUCAAAGCAUGCCACGUGUGGAUUGGGUAGAGAUGUUCAGCAUCAGCAGAGGUUAGACGAGAGAGGGGAACAGGAUGGAGCAGCAGGAAGAUGUCAGUGGAAAGGGAGUAAAAGAUCCUUGUUGGAUACCUCCUGACCAUGUGGUUUGUGGUCUUCUGUCAGUUUUCUUUCCUCGUUAAACUGCAGCAUUUCCCUUUGCCUCCUUUAGACAAUUUGGAGAGUUGUGGUCUGGAAGAAAUUGCAUUCCUCUGAUGCCUUUACUUUAAAUAUUGCAUGGCUAUGCUCAGGAAGUCCUACAUGAAGAAAUAUUGUAGCAGAGGUGUCUUCCUGGAAAAAUAAGUCCCCUGGGAAAGACAUCCCUCAGAAGUCCAUUCUUUUUAUCUCCAGGUAAGCUAUGUUGCAUGUGUAUUCAAAGGCAGAAUGGAUGUAAAUGCUUGUAGAGCAACUUUGCCUGUAGUAAAGCAGUGUUUCCAAAUCAGAGAACAUAAACAGAAGGAGCAACAUGAGACGCAUGUAUAACUGUAGCUAUACAAAAAUAAAUGUAAGCCAAAUUUACAGAAGUCGUAGAAGUAUGUAUCUCAAGGCUGAAUGCAAUUAAGUGUAAGGAAGAUGAUUAAUUUUACCCUCAAAUCUUCUGAACUUUGAGCAAAUAUAUAUAUCUUCAUGUAGACGUGCAACAUUUAAAUCUUUAGUAAUGAAGUAUUUUAUGUCUUCUGAACCCUUAAAAUUAGUUCAGAAUUAAUCGGCUUAUGGUCAAGACUUUCCUCUUCGGUUUGUAAAGUGCUGUAAUUGCAGGCAUUACAGACCACUUGGCUUCAGUUGCAGACAGAAGCUGCAGCCUGUCUUUCAGCUCAGACUGACCGUCAGAACUCAGUUCUUCUAAUUUGUCUCACUUCCUCAUGCUGCAUUCACUGUUGUGCUGCUCAGCGCUGUUGUACAGGACAUGCAGAAACUCAGAAGCAAAUUCUGCCUGCAGACUCUGUGUCCAUCCUCUGUGCACUUCUGUGGUGGUAGUGUUACAUGGAGAUUGUGGUUCUCCUAAGGGUAGGAAAGUACUGCAAGAACGUCAGUCCAGUCCAGCAUUUUU